Molecule: long non-coding RNA, 2010 nt
Organism: Macadamia integrifolia
Lineage: Eukaryota; Viridiplantae; Streptophyta; Magnoliopsida; Proteales; Proteaceae
Exons: 3
Source: RefSeq, a predicted model, not a curated record
UGAAAAUUGCCCUUGCCGUUUUGUUUGGUUGCCGAGUAAUUUUACGAAGUACAAAACAAAAUAUUAGGAGAGUUGUAGUCUUAUAGAGCAUGAUCCUUACCAGAAAAAAGUCUUAUAGGGCAUGAUCGUGCGCGCCACACAUGAGUUGUUGAUUUGCUUCCUAGUUCCACUACCAUCGAGCGCUGGCGUAGGUCGCGCUGCCGGAUGUGCACCUCGCUUCUCCCCUGCCCUCAUCCCCAAUUCAGGUUCCGGCAACGGCAACGGCAACGGCAACGGCUCCGGCUCCGGCUCCGGCUCCGGCUCGUAAGUUUGUUCUUCGUUGCAACGGCACCUAAGUUUGUUCUUUGUUACUUUUUUCUGGGAGCAUCGUCGAUUCUUCAUUGGUUAGUAUUUUCUCAAUUAUGUUUUGGUUAACGUACUUUUGGAGCUACCCGUGAAGACCCUCUUGAGAUUCAGGUGCGUAUGCAAACGAUGGCGCUAUCUGAUCUCUGAGGAUCCUUAUUUCGUUCAACUCCACUUUCAGCAAUCCAAAUCAAAACAACCUCAUCUCUUCUUCUCAUCAGUUCCAGCCCAACCAAUUCAAUUAGGUCCUUUCCCUGUUUUCCUAAAAUCCACAGACAGAGAAGCGAAUCCAAUUAGCAGAUUUGAGUUCCAGUUUGAGAAUAUUUAUGCCACUCUGUUACCUAAUUGUUUCGAUCUGGUUUGCAUUCAAGACGAUGACAUUGUUCAUAUUUGUAACCCUAGUACACAUGAAUUCAUAACAUUGCCAAAAGUUCCUUUCCCCAUUGAUUACUCCUCUGUGGGUUUCGGAUAUGUUCAGUGAAUCGAUGAGUAUAAAGUUGGUUCGUUUUAUUGGUCCUGAUUAUGGGCUUCUAGAAGAUGGAUUCAGUGAAGACAACCAAAUGUCAAGUCUUUACCUUGGGAUCUUCUUGGGCUUGGAGAGACGUUGCAGAUUCUCCAGUGAGCUUUCUUAGUCUUCCAGCAUUUGUUAACGGAGCCAUCCACUGGUUGGUUCAAUAUUAUUCCAUGAUUGACACCGGGAUCUACCAUGGACACAUAUUGAUCCUGAUAAUACAAUCAUCGCAUUUGAUGUUGCGAGUGAAGAAUACAGAUUAGUUCCACAUCCUGAAGGUUGUCUUGAUAUUAGGUCUUUAAAAUAUACUGAACUCCAAUUAGUGGAGGUUCCAUGGACAUAUGGAUGUUUGAAGACUACUACUACGAGAGUGUGGUAAUGAUCGUGUUGGUGGUACAUGGGUGAAACAAUACACUAUUGAUCUGAACGUCUUGCACCGUUGCUACCGAAUGGGGAAAAAAAUUGUUCAAUAUUAUGCACCUAGAGACAUAGAGGACACAAGGGUGCUAAUUGAGACAUCUAGGAAAGGUUUAGGCUAUUACCAUCUCCAACGCAGAAGUUUCAAGGGAUUUGUGCAUAGUAAACAACUGCAAAAGCUACAGUUCAGUUUUUAUUUCAAGAGUUUGCGGUCACUAGAACAAUUAGCACAGGGAAGACAUUGAAGCAGCUGAAGCAAUAGGAAAAUCGGAAAUCCACUCUCUAUGGCUGUAAUUAAUCCGUAAGCAAAUUGUUGGGUGGCUUGCCUUGUCCUUUGAGCAAAGUUUUCAAUGUCGACCUUUCAUGUUCUCCAAUUGAUGAGAAGGAUGAUUAGUGAAAUUAAAGAAUGAAGUGGAAGAGAAUGAAGAUCACUCACUUAGGCAGAGGUUACAAAGAAAUCUUCGAAUGUGCAUGAGGAGUACACCCAUUCUCUUGUCAAGGGAAACUCUAGAACCGGUGCAUGAUCUUAUCGUCUUUUGUAAUGUUAGCUACUUCCUGUACUCAUUUUAAAGCUGAAAUUGUACCAAUAAGUUGCUUACCUGGUACUCCAGUGAAUUGUUAUACUUUCACUAGUAAUUGUGAUUCCUUGAAAGAUCCUGUUUGUAAAGCAAUUUGUGCCAAAAAAACAAGAAAACAUAAGAAAAUACAAGAACUUUUUUUUUCUUCUAAUGGUAACCAAA